Molecule: transfer RNA, 63 nt
Filed under: Volvatella angeliniana
Lineage: Eukaryota; Metazoa; Mollusca; Gastropoda; Volvatellidae
Description: tRNA-Val
Source: RNAcentral
UAGUUAGAGUAUUGUCAGUACGUCUUAGUUACAUUAAGAAAGGCUUACCAGUUAAGUGGCUAC